GACGAACGCUGGCGGCGUGCUUAACACAUGCAAGUCGAACGGAAAGGCCUGCUUUCCCUUGUGGAUUGCGGGUGCUCGAGUGGCGAACGGGUGAGUAACACGUGAGUGAUCUGCCCCCAACUUGGGUAUAAGCCUGGGAAACUGGGUCUAAUUCCCGAUAGGACUGCAGGGUGGUGCCUGUGGUGGAAAACGAUUUUCUAGUGGUUGGGGAUGAGCUCGCGGCCUAUCAGCUUGUUGGUGGGGGAAUGGCCUACCAAGGCGGCGACGGGUAGCCGGCCUGAGAGGGUGGACGGCCACAUUGGGACUGAGAUACGGCCCAGACUCCUACGGGAGGCAGCAGUGGGGAAUAUUGCACAAUGGGCGGAAGCCUGAUGCAGCGACGCCGCGUGGGGGAUGACGGCCUUCGGGUUGUAAACUCCUUUCGACCGCGAGGAAGCCACCUGGUUGGAAGGGUGGUGACGGUAGUGGUAGAAGAAGCACCGGCUAACUACGUG
RNAcentral lists this ribosomal RNA (494 nucleotides) under uncultured bacterium. RNAcentral describes it as "partial 16S ribosomal RNA". It matches the Rfam family "Bacterial small subunit ribosomal RNA", at positions 28 to 507 of the family's 1533-position model. The record is from RNAcentral.